GGAAUAUUGGACAAUGGAGGCAACUCUGAUCCAGCCAUCCCGCGUGCAGGAUGACGGCCCUACGGGUUGUAAACUGCUUUUGUUAGGGAAGAACUCCAUCCUUUUAAGGGUGGCUGACGGUACCUUUCGAAUAAGCACCGGCUAACUCCGUGCCAGCAGCCGCGGUAAUACGGAGGGUGCAAGCGUUAUCCGGAAUUACUGGGUUUAAAGGGUGCGUAGGCGGCGCAAUAAGUCAGAGGUGAAAGCCCGUGGCUCAACCAUGGAAUUGCCUUUGAUACUGUUGUGCUUGAAUCAGGUUGAGGACAGCGGAAUGUGGCAUGUAGCGGUGAAAUGCAUAGAUAUGCCAUAGAACACCGAUUGCGAAGGCAGCUGUCUGGGCCUGGAUUGACGCUGAGGCACGAAAGCGUGGGGAGCGAACAGGAUUAGAAACCCCGGUAGUCC
This 441-nucleotide ribosomal RNA is filed under the name uncultured bacterium. Its description in RNAcentral is "bacterial SSU rRNA". It matches the Rfam family "Bacterial small subunit ribosomal RNA", at positions 358 to 796 of the family's 1533-position model. The record is from RNAcentral.